This 64-nucleotide transfer RNA is filed under the name Opisthoteuthis sp. JN-2021. Its description in RNAcentral is "tRNA-Phe". The record is from RNAcentral. Lineage: Eukaryota; Metazoa; Mollusca; Cephalopoda; Octopoda; Opisthoteuthidae.
ACUCAAAUAACUUAAGAAGAGUAUAAUAUUGAAGCUAUUAAGGUGAUUUAAUAAUCUUUGAGUA